UACGAAGGGGGCUAGCGUUGCUCGGAAUCACUGGGCGUAAAGGGUGCGUAGGCGGGUCUUUAAGUCAGGGGUGAAAUCCUGGAGCUCAACUCCAGAACUGCCUUUGAUACUGGGAAUCUCGAGUCCGGAAGAGGUGAGUGGAACUGCGAGUGUAGAGGUGAAAUUCGUAGAUAUUCGCAAGAACACCAGUGGCGAAGGCGGCUCACUGGUCCGGUACUGACGCUGAGGUGCGAAAGCGUGGGGAGCAAACAGG
Molecule: ribosomal RNA, 253 nt
Filed under: uncultured bacterium
Lineage: Bacteria
Description: partial 16S ribosomal RNA
Rfam family: Bacterial small subunit ribosomal RNA
Source: RNAcentral